Long non-coding RNA from Brassica rapa (field mustard), 253 nucleotides. RefSeq lists it as uncharacterized. The record is from RefSeq and is a predicted model, not a curated record. Lineage: Eukaryota; Viridiplantae; Streptophyta; Magnoliopsida; Brassicales; Brassicaceae.
AUGAAGCCCUCGAGUCUUUUAAUGCGUUUCUUGUGGUUGGAUCAAGCAUUGUCAAGUAAAAGUAUGGUAUUCCCUUGCCUUUGCCCGGCAGGCCAUCACUAUAUGACACAACAUUCCUGCCAAAAACAAUUUUGAAAGAGAUCAAGAUCCUAAUAAUUUAUAUUAUAUAAUCUGCACACCCUAAUGAGAAGACAUAUAUCACAUGUUUAGAGGUCCAAAACCACAACGAAUAUGAUUCCUAUUAACAGACCAA